UCUUUAAUCAAAGUUGAAUGUUCCUGUGUGUCUGGCAGCUCAGUAAUUCAGGCGCAGGCUCUAAUUUUGCAACAUUUUACAGCAGCAUCUCUGGAGCAUUAGCGACUAUUGGAUCAAUUGAAACCCAGACAUUCUGCUCAGCAGGGACAAAGAUAAGAAAUGUAUUAAUUUAGAUACAAGCUGCUUUAGACAAAAGUAAAAAAAAAAGACUGUUCACACUUCAAUAUUCAAAAUACGGUCACACAGAGAAUAGAAAGUAAUUUGGAACGGUCUUUUUUCUGAAACCAACUGAACUGAAGAGUUGGAAGCUAUCUGCCUGUGCAGGAGGCCAUAUAUAAAGAUGUCUCAGAACUAUGGCCACAUUCUGAGUUUGAUUGAACGAUGAACUAGACUAAGAAAGCUAUGGCCACAUUCUGAGUUUGAUCGAAAGACGAACCAAACUAAGGCUGAACAAUGAAACUUGGCAAGAAAUGAAGUGAGUGCAGCUUGGUGACAAAUAGCGCAAGAAUUAUAUGAAGGCAAAUACCAGGUGUUCAUCAUGUCGUCACUCUGUAGAAGAAUUAAAGCGAUCAUCCAUUAAAACAUUAAGCUGUCUAGUAACGCAUCUGGAUAUUCCACUAUGAGCCUACAUGAAUAUAAUGGGUUACAAAUAUCUUGCCUUGUCAUCACAUGGCAACUGUGAAGAUGUAAGUCUAGACGAUUGUGUUCUUGACACAGCUACUAAAUUGAGCUGCAGUGCACCCUAUCUCAAGCCAAUUCCCUUACCUGGCUGCAUAAGAGAUGAAUUUCCCCAAAAACCGCUAACAUCAACCUGAAAUGCUAGGACUGAUCAGGCCAUUUCAACUCGGUAGCCAGGCACCCUAAAAUAUAGCAGAUUGAACAUGCUGUACAGUUAGUCUGUGUUUUCUGUCAAUAUGUCCCAGUUAUGCCCGGUGGAACAUGCUGGUUCGUGACCCCGCAGAAUUGGGAAUAUUUCUAAUAAAAUUAUUUUACUUGUUAA
Long non-coding RNA from Xenopus laevis (African clawed frog), 1000 nucleotides. RefSeq lists it as uncharacterized. The transcript has 6 exons. The record is from RefSeq and is a predicted model, not a curated record. Lineage: Eukaryota; Metazoa; Chordata; Amphibia; Anura; Pipidae.